CAAAGGGGAAGUUUUGCCGGGAAGUUAGCAUCU
RNAcentral lists this ribosomal RNA (33 nucleotides) under Eimeria maxima. RNAcentral's name for it is "large subunit ribosomal RNA". Lineage: Eukaryota; Apicomplexa; Conoidasida; Eucoccidiorida; Eimeriidae. The record is from RNAcentral.